RNAcentral lists this ribosomal RNA (429 nucleotides) under Chloroflexota bacterium. RNAcentral's name for it is "Chloroflexi bacterium partial 16S ribosomal RNA". It matches the Rfam family "Bacterial small subunit ribosomal RNA", at positions 355 to 776 of the family's 1533-position model. The record is from RNAcentral. Lineage: Bacteria; Bacillati; Chloroflexota.
UGGGGAAUAUUGCACAAUGGGCGCAAGCCUGAUGCAGCCAUGCCGCGUGUGUGAAGAAGGCCUUCGGGUUGUAAAGCACUUUCAGCGGGGAGGAAGGCGAUAAGGUUAAUAACCUUGUCGAUUGACGUUACCCGCAGAAGAAGCACCGGCUAACUCCGUGCCAGCAGCCGCGGUAAUACGGAGGGUGCAAGCGUUAAUCGGAAUUACUGGGCGUAAAGCGCACGCAGGCGGUCUGUCAAGUCGGAUGUGAAAUCCCCGGGCUCAACCUGGGAACUGCAUUCGAAACUGGCAGGCUAGAGUCUUGUAGAGGGGGGUAGAAUUCCAGGUGUAGCGGUGAAAUGCGCAGAUAUCUGGAGGAACACCGAUGGCGAAGGCAGGUCACUGGGCCAUUACUGACGCUGAGGAGCGAAAGCAUGGGUAGCGAACAGG